Molecule: long non-coding RNA, 569 nt
Organism: Hippocampus zosterae (dwarf seahorse)
Lineage: Eukaryota; Metazoa; Chordata; Actinopteri; Syngnathiformes; Syngnathidae
Exons: 2
Source: RefSeq, a predicted model, not a curated record
CCCCUACCCAUCAGUCGUCCAGGAUGACCUUGACAAAACUGGCCACGUCUGUGUCUUUGGAGUCAUGCAAGGUGAAAAAUGGAUGUUUCUGCGUCGAAAAGAGGGGAAGCGAGGAGCUUGGAGGAAGAGGAGGAUAAGACCCUUUGGGGGAAGUGAGGCUCACCACUUGGAGAUGAAGUCUACAAAGUCUGGCGAGAAGCGGUCAGCAGGCAGCUGAGGAGAGGGCUCAUCCACCACCUGCUUGAGCUGCUGGAAGGGCGUACCCCAGGAUUCGUACGGGAACUUCAGGAUGGCCAACUCGAUCUAGAGUGGCAAGCACACCACAUACUGGAUAAACUGUACAGUGGAUAUAAGAGUCUACACAUCCCUGUUCACACCCUCUUAUAUGUGGCUUUAGAAUCACAUUCAAAGUUGGAUUAAAUUGGAGAGGGAAUACACCCGACACCAUUUUAAAGUGCCUCCAAUUAAACACAAGGUAUCCAAGUGGGCCCUUUUCCACCCAUAAUAUAUUCUUGAAGAACCUAAUGAAAUAAUCAACGUGAAUUAAUGGAAAUUGUGACAGCCGUAUU